This 72-nucleotide transfer RNA is filed under the name Candidatus Desantisiibacteriota bacterium. Its description in RNAcentral is "Candidatus Desantisbacteria bacterium (hot springs metagenome) tRNA-Gln". It matches the Rfam family "tRNA". From Rfam's summary of the family: Transfer RNA (tRNA) molecules are approximately 80 nucleotides in length. Their secondary structure includes four short double-helical elements and three loops (D, anti-codon, and T loops). Further hydrogen bonds mediate the characteristic L-shaped molecular structure. tRNAs have two regions of fundamental functional importance: the anti-codon, which is responsible for specific mRNA codon recognition, and the 3' end, to which the tRNAs corresponding amino acid is attached (by aminoacyl-tRNA synthetases). tRNAs cope with the degeneracy of the genetic code in two manners: having more than one tRNA (with a specific anti-codon) for a particular amino acid; and 'wobble' base-pairing, i.e. permitting non-standard base-pairing at the 3rd anti-codon position. Lineage: Bacteria; Candidatus Desantisiibacteriota. The record is from RNAcentral.
UGCCCGGUAGUGUAAUGGCAACACACAUGGCUCUGGACCAUGUAAUUCCAGGUUCGAGUCCUGGCCGGGCAG